CGAGUGGCGGACGGGUGAGUAAUGUCUGGGAAACUGCCUGGUGGAGGGGGAUAACUACUGGAAACGGUAGCUAAUACCGCAUAACGUCGCAAGACCAAAGAGGGGGACCUUCGGGCCUCUUGCCAUCGGAUGUGCCCAGAUGGGAUUAGCUAGUAGGUGGGGUAACGGCUCACCUAGGCGACGAUCCCUAGCUGGUCUGAGAGGAUGACCAGCCACACUGGAACUGAGACACGGUCCAG
This 239-nucleotide ribosomal RNA is filed under the name uncultured bacterium. RNAcentral describes it as "partial 16S ribosomal RNA". It matches the Rfam family "Bacterial small subunit ribosomal RNA", at positions 92 to 334 of the family's 1533-position model. The record is from RNAcentral.